CUGUUCGCCUUCUGUCUUUGUGGCUCGUCGUGUACUAGCCGGUCUUGCUCGCCUCGAGGCCCAUUUCCUCGAUUGUUGGACGUUGCGCAGACGGAGAUCUCGUCGCGCACGGCACCUCUUUGGUUUCCGCCUCAACGGAUCGCCUGCGUCGCAGAGCAAGAACUGCCGUUCAGGUCGAUAAUCAUAGCAUCGCGCUAGUUGGGCGCAUGCACCUACUCUUACGCUGUUGUUCCCCCUCCUACACCAUCACCACCCCUCGCAGUCAUCAUGACGGACCCGACACGUAGGGAUCCCACCGAGUUCCUGCGGGUGCUUCGCCGCAUGUCGAAUACGACGUCGUGGCAGAAGGCAAUGAUCUUCGCGUCCAAGGGUCGCAUGGUCGGCUACCGUCUCACCCUCGAGCACUACAACACAGUCCUCUACUCCCAGUCCAUGUGGGGGCGUGCGCUGGAGAUGAUCAAGGUAAUUCGGGCCAUGCAGCAGGAUGGCGUGCAGCCCAACGGCGCCACGUACUACUACAUCGUGAAUGGCAUGGCAAACGCAGAGCACGGCUACAACUACGACUUCAACAUCAACCAUAGGCUGGAAAAGCUGCAGCACUGGCGUGUGGCGCUGAAUGCACUCCACGCGUGCGAAGCCAACGGCUUCGACUCGACCGACACAAUGCACAACUCCGUCAUUGUAACCAUGACCAUACCUGGCAUGAACCACUGGAAGGAGGCCUUGCAAGUCCUAAAAAAGAUCAUCGAUGAGGAUCGGCAGCUACAUCCGAGCAUGGUUCGCUUCCUUCAUGACUGCCUGAUUCGCAACUACCGCCCUCGUGAGGCGAGCGAUUUGUUGCGACGCGCAGCUGAGCGCGGCGUGAAAGGGUACGAAAGCGCGUGGGAAACGGACGUCUACAAGGGCAAACCGACAGACGCCCAGCUCGAAGCCUCGCAAGCCGAGGCUGCCGUGACGGCCGCCGCGGGGACGGAGUGUGUAGCUGGUAGCAGCGGCGCUCUCUCGUCCUUGACGUCGGACUGCAAGGAAGCUACCCGCAACUCUGCACAAGCAUCCGCAGCUGCCACGCUCAUGGCCCUGCAGCUGCGUGGCGAUCAGGCACUGCCUCCGCCGCAGAUGCGCAGCGCCCUUCAGGAAGAGAUGGAGCGAAACAUUACAGCUGAGCGACAGGCGCUGCGCCCCUUCACCGCGGGGCUGCACUACACCGAAAUGCGCUCCGUCUUCCGUCCACGUGUGCAUCGCCAGCUGUGGUACCAGUGGCAUCAAAUCGCGAACCGCUAUCGGCCCACCGCAUCGCUCAAGCGUCGUCAGCUGGCUCCCCGAGACUCGCCCACCGGUAUCCCCGCAUGGAAUCGCCUGUGAGGAGCAGCAAAAGCCGAUGAAGAGCUCGGCGAACGAAGAAGAGUACGCGGGGCGUGCGUGUUUAUUUGUGUGUGUGUGUGUGUGUGUGUCCCGGUCAUGUGGCACGACAACCGGCAUCGCACAGGAAACCUUUUGAGGAGCCGCCCAGUGUGUUGGCUGGUUUCGGUCCGCAACCGGCCCUCGGCACCAGCUCUCUUUUGGUGUGUCUCUGUCGGCGGCGAUCACGUCAACCAACCGACCUCUGCAUCUUCACAGUAUCUCUGGUUAAUCGAUCAAGCGUGUGCGCUCCGCUGUGAGGGAAGCGAAAGAAUACAUAAAGAGAGAGAGCGAGAAAAAGGCCGCGUAGUAAUGGCAGAGAAACAGCGGUUCGCCGGAUAUGGCAAGGCAGCCGUGACGACAGGCAACGCGGGAGCAGGCGGCUACCGCAAUGCACUUUGUGUGUUUCACUGUGCGUCUGCGUGUGUCACCUCGUGUGCUCUGGGUGGGAUGGGGGAGGGAUGCUCCAACAUACGCGAGGCCUCAUGUGCUUUUCUUCUGUGUUACCCAUCUUCUCAUCUGCUCGCCUCCCGAAUGAACACCCCCUCGGCGCGGCACCAAAG
RNAcentral lists this unclassified non-coding RNA (1961 nucleotides) under Leishmania donovani. Its description in RNAcentral is "gene:LdHU3.33.1920(CDS-product:hypothetical_prote in_conserved)". The record is from RNAcentral. Lineage: Eukaryota; Euglenozoa; Kinetoplastea; Trypanosomatida; Trypanosomatidae.